This 244-nucleotide ribosomal RNA is filed under the name uncultured bacterium. RNAcentral's name for it is "partial 16S ribosomal RNA". It matches the Rfam family "Bacterial small subunit ribosomal RNA", at positions 91 to 334 of the family's 1533-position model. The record is from RNAcentral.
CGGACCGGCGCGACGGUGAGUAACGCGUAUGUAACUUACCUAUCAGGAGGGGAUAACCCGGCGAAAGUCGGACUAAUACCGCAUGAAGCAGGGGCCCCGCAUGGGGAUAUUUGCUAAAGAUUCAUCGCUGAUAGAUAGGCAUGCGUUCCAUUAGGCAGUUGGCGGGGUAACGGCCCACCAAACCGACGAUGGAUAGGGGUUCUGAGAGGAAGGUCCCCCACAUUGGUACUGAGACACGGACCAA